GAUGAACGCUGGCGGCGUGCUUAACACAUGCAAGUCGAACGGAAAGGCCCAAGUUUGCUUGGGUACUCGAGUGGCGAACGGGUGAGUAACACGUGGGUGAUCUGCCCUGCACUUCGGGAUAAGCCUGGGAAACUGGGUCUAAUACCGGAUAGGACCACUUCUUGGAUGUUGUGGUGGAAAGUUUUUCGGUGUGGGAUGAGCUCGCGGCCUAUCAGCUUGUUGGUGGGGUAAUGGCCUACCAAGGCGUCGACGGGUAGCCGGCCUGAGAGGGUGUACGGCCACAUUGGGACUGAGAGACGGCGCAGACUCCUACGGGAGGCAGCAGUGGGGAAUAUUGGGCAAAAGGGGCAAGCCUGAUGCGGCGACGCCGCGUGGGGGAUGACGGCCUUCGGGUUGUAAACUCCUUUUGCUAGGGACGAAGCUUAUUGUGUGACGGUACCUGGAGAAGAAGCACCGGCUAACUACGUG
Molecule: ribosomal RNA, 468 nt
Filed under: uncultured bacterium
Lineage: Bacteria
Description: partial 16S ribosomal RNA
Rfam family: Bacterial small subunit ribosomal RNA
Source: RNAcentral